UACGAAGGGGGGCUAGCGUUGCUCGGAAUCACUGGGCGUAAAGCGCACGUAGGCGGCUUCUUAAGUCAGGGGUGAAAUCCUGGAGCUCAACUCCAGAACUGCCUUUGAUACUGAGGAGCUCGAGUCCGGAAGAGGUGAGUGGAACUGCGAGUGUAGAGGUGAAAUUCGUAGAUAUUCGCAAGAACACCAGUGGCGAAGGCGGCUCACUGGUCCGGUACUGACGCUGAGGUGCGAAAGCGUGGGGAGCAAACAGG
RNAcentral lists this ribosomal RNA (254 nucleotides) under uncultured bacterium. Its description in RNAcentral is "partial 16S ribosomal RNA". It matches the Rfam family "Bacterial small subunit ribosomal RNA", at positions 524 to 776 of the family's 1533-position model. The record is from RNAcentral.